RNAcentral lists this small RNA (565 nucleotides) under Pongo abelii (Sumatran orangutan). Its description in RNAcentral is "processed transcript". Lineage: Eukaryota; Metazoa; Chordata; Mammalia; Primates; Hominidae. The record is from RNAcentral.
AAUUACGUCUGGGUCCAAGCAAACAUGAGGCAGCUGCCAGCCGGCCUGGGCAGUCUUGUCUGCCUCGGCUGUGAAGUGGGGAGGCUGGCAACAGUUUCCUUCAGCGCCCAGGAUGCAGCCGGCUAAGGGUGCCAAGAGGAUCAGCUGAGGUGAUGGCGUGAAGCCCUUUGAGCAUGGUAACACUACACAUGGAAAAUGUGCCUUCUCUCCUGUCACCUCAAGUCUCCCCAGCAACCACCAUGCAGGCAGGGCAGAGUGGAGAAAUGUAGCGCCUUGUCCCAGGCUCAGACACUACGGUGUCAGGGUGCACAGUGCAACCGUGCCCAUAGGCAGAGACGCAUUGAGCGACCCUGCAUGACUACAGAGAUGGGAAUUUCCAGAGUCAGGCUGCACACAGGUGUGCACACAGCCAGCUCUGACCUCCAGCAGAAGACUGUCCUCCCCUCCUUUGCCUUUCCUCUGCUGGCCUUAACUGCCAAAGGUCACUCUGGGAGCUUGGCCACUCCUGCCCCUGCCAGACUGGCGGAGUGGGUGGCCUGAGUCCUGCACUUACAUCUGGUUCUUC